Salmo salar (Atlantic salmon) is the source of this 3971-nucleotide non-coding RNA. The record is from RefSeq and is a predicted model, not a curated record. NCBI's taxonomy places the organism in Eukaryota, Metazoa, Chordata, Actinopteri, Salmoniformes, Salmonidae.
GUUUUCAGUGUGUUUUCAGUGUGUUUCCAGUGUGUUUUCAGUAUGUUUCCAGUGUGUUUUCAGUGUGUUUCCAGUGUGUUUUCAGGGGGAUUCCAGUGUGUUUUCAGCACAGGUCAUUGAGAUAAAGGCAUUGAAAAGGGUCCAGGGGACAUUCUGGUGUCGGGUAGUGUUUUCAAGAGGCAGGGAGGUGUAAAGAGAUCCAUUGUACUGUACGAUAACCACUCAGGUUUUUGCAGGUGUUGGUGUGUGGGGGGUAUUUGUGUUUGUUUGUGCCCAUUUUGUGCUGUGUCUGUGUGUGUUUAUGUGUGUCUGCGUACGCAAAUGUGUUUGAUUGUGCAAAUAUGUGUGCGUGCAGGCAUGCGCACGUGAAGUGUGUGUAUGUGGUUUACAAAAGAUGGGCUGGUGGGUGGUAAUGUGGGUAAAAGACGCAAUGCUUCCUUCAUACAGCAUCCGUUAGAUCUGCUAGCUAUUCAGUCACUUACAUAACACCCCUGUAGUUCUAUCCUAUUACCUCCAACAGACACGCCAUUCAUACAGACAGUACUGCAGGUCUGUGGCCCCAGCUCUCCGACCAAUACCUGCGGCAUCAUGAAGUCUAUAUGAGGUGCAAAAGACUGAUACACACUAAGUCACAGGAGGGAAUUAUUGUCCUGGAUAACCCUGGUGGAUUGUCUAGCCUCCUCUCCACUGAGACAUUGGGGAAGGAGUUUAUAGAACUGUUGGAAUUCGGACCCUCCAAAAACUAUUCUGUCUCAAAAUGUUGUUUUCUCUAGCCCUCCUCUUCCUGCUAACCCCGUUUCCCUCCCUUCAAACUCCAGUAACCUAUGAGAAAAGAAAUGCCACAGGAACAGGAAGUGAACCCAAACCCUACGUCCUACUCACCCUCUCCCUCACAAAACCAAAAACCGCAGCCACGCUCGUCAAAGUCACCAAAGAGACCCCUAAGCCCACUCCGAAAGUCCUAAGCCCAACUGCAGCCAAUCAGACACAUCCAGCCCCCACAAACCCCCUCAAACCUCCAACAGCCACGUUCAUCAAACUCACCAAAGAGACCCCUAAGCCCACUCCAAAAGCCCUAAGCCCAACUGCAGCCAAUCAGACACAUCCAGCCCCCUCGACCCCCCUCAAGCCUCCAACAGCCACGUUCAUCAAACUCACCAAAGAGACCCCUAAGCCCACUCCAAAAGCCCUAAGCCCAACUGCAGCCAAUCAGACACAUCCAGCCCCCUCGACACCCCUCAAGCCUCCAAUAGCCACAUUCAUCAAACUCACCAAAGAGACCCCUAAGCCCACUCCAAAAGCCCUAAGCCCAACUGCAGCCAAUCAGACACAUCCUGCCCCCUCGACCCCCCUCAAGCCUCCAACAGCCAUGCUCGUCAAACUCACCAAAGAGACCCCUAAGCCCACUCCGAAAGCCCUAAGCCCAACUGCAGCCAAUCAGACACAUCCUGCCCCCUCAACCCCCUCAAGGCUCCAACAGCCACGCCGUCAAACUCACCAAAGAGACCCUAAGCCCACUCUGAAAGCCCUAAACCCAACUGCAGCCAAUCAGACACAUCCAGCCCCCUCGACACCCCUCAAGCCUCCAACAGCCAAGCUCAUCAAACUCACCAAAGAGACCCCUAAGCCCACUCCAAAAGCCUUAAGCCCAACUGAAGCCAAUCAGAUUCUUCCAGCCUCUUCAACCCCCCUCAAACCUCUCACAGCCAGUGGUCCAAAGACCACCACCAAAGACAAACCCUCCCCCACACCGCCGCAUCCCAUCCCCAUCAAGGUGCUCAUCACUUCUGACUCUGGCUGCAUCAGCAAGGACACCCAGAGCGACACUAGCAACCGCACCAAGGAGCAGACCCAGACCCAUGAGCUGAAGCUGAAGCCUGGCUUUCCUCUAACCCUGACCCACCGCAUCAGUCUGGUUCCUACCUCCUGCACUGGGGGAUGUGUGGCUGAGAUGGCAAAACUGAAAGGACGCGUUGGCAGGCUGGAGAAAGAGAUCUCCCUCAUGAAGAGUAAAUGUGCUUCCUGCUCCAAAGGCCCAUGUCCCAAUGGCUGCAGUGCAAAUGGGAAAUGUGAGAAGGGAAAGUGUGUCUGCCUCCCAGGGUUCCUUGGUCUAGACUGCAGAAAAUGUAGAGCUGGAGCUGACUGCAGUAAAAAAGGUACCAAAGACAAAAUCCAGAUAACGGUGGAGACGGUGGCAUUGAAGGUAUCACCUGAGAGCAAUGCUAUCACGGAGAGUCUGCAGGGGAAGAAGACCAAGGCAGACCAAAUCCUCUUCCAGAAGAAAACAGAGCAAAAGACACCUACAGCCGCCAAAGAGGAUGGUGACAUCAAAAGCAAAACAAAAGUGACCACAAGUGUAAAAGCAGGCCUCACCAAGACACAAGCCAAACAAGGGGUUACUGUCACUAAAACCAAAAGUAAACUCUCCACCUAUUCCAAUGCUACCAAGAUUGGACUGGGCCGACCAACCGUCGGACAGGUUCUGUUGAAACACCAUGGAGGAAGAAAGCAAGAGAGCAAAGGCAAAACGACAGUUAUAAAGAAGCAGUCUAAACCAGACCUGAAGUUGAAAGUAACAGUAAAGGAGGAAUCUGCAGGUAAAGCCAAUGCUGAAGCUGGCAACCUCCAAGACCAGCCUCAAGCCAAUGUCACCCAAAGCACUGUGAAGAUGUUUGUGAACAAAACCCGGUCAGGAAAAGAGACUCUGGAGCAGUCGACGUUGGCUGAGAAGAAUGUGACUCUAACAUCUGGAAAGAAAACAGUCAAAAAGGUGAAAUUAGUUCAGGGGACUAUGAACGUUACAAAGGUGUCAUUGGCUUUUGAUAGCACUAAGGCUGGGACGGGCAAGAUCACCCUUACAAAGGACAUUAAGACAGAGGCAGACAUCUCCUCAGGCACAUCUAAAACUACUGUGAAGACAGGGUCAGGCAAAGGGAAGCCAGUCACACGGAAGAGUCAGUAUGUUGUGAACAUGACCACUGUGGAGACCACCUCUGAAGUCAAAGUCCUCAGCAACAGGACAACAACUAUCCAGUCUUCCAGAAACACCACAAAGAAAGAAGGAACAGGAGUGGGCAGCGGGCUUGGCUCUGUGAAGGUUCAGAACAUCACCACGUACGGCUUCACCCCUCACAUGGUCGGCCCCGACAGCCAUGUUUAAGAACUUCACUGUGUCCAGAAGAGAGCACAGGGCAGAGGGCGAGGAAGAUGAGGAGGAAGAGGCGGAGGAGGAAGCUGCUCUCGGGGAAGAGGACAGAGUAGCCGCAGUCGCCAACACCACCAUUGAGAUCCGGAAACAGAGCCCUAAUGGAACUGUGGCUUUCCCCACUAAAGCUCCAAGUAGCUCCAGAGGUAAAGCUCACACAAAGAGGGUGUCCGUUGUUCUCCCCGGCAGCGUUCGCUCUGUGGAGUUCAGUAACCUGCGACCUCAGACCCGAUACUCCCUGCACAUAUUUGGCACCACUCCCGGAUCCCGCUCCAAGAUCCACAGAGUAACCGCCAUGACAGGAGAGAGUGGUUCUGUGUCUGUCUGUCAUCAUGACAGGAGAGAGGGGUUCUGUGUCUGUCAUCCUGACAGGAGAGAGUGGGUCUGUGUCUGUCAUCCUGACAGGAGAGAGGGGUUCUGUGUCUUUCAUCCUGACAGGAGAGAGUGGUUCUGUGUCUGUCAUCCUGACAGGAGAGAGUGGUUCUGUGUCUGUCAUCCUGACAGGAGAGAGUGGUUCUGUGUCUGUCAUCCUGACAGGAGAGAGUGGUUCUGUGUCUGUCAUCCUGACAUGAGAGAGUGGUUCUGUGUCUGUCAUCCUGACAGGAGAGAGUGGUUCUGUGUCUGUCAUCAUGACAGGAGAGAGUGGUUCUGUGUCUGUCAUCCUGACAGGAGAGAGUGGUUCUGUGUCUGUCAUCCUGACAUGAGAGAGUGGUUCUGUGUCUGUCAUCAUGACAGGAGAGAGUGGUUCUGUGUCUGUCUGUCAUCC